RNAcentral lists this long non-coding RNA (8060 nucleotides) under Malus domestica (apple). RNAcentral's name for it is "long non-coding RNA (MDOM_LNC008836)". Lineage: Eukaryota; Viridiplantae; Streptophyta; Magnoliopsida; Rosales; Rosaceae. The record is from RNAcentral.
CCAGCUCAGCUAGGGCUUGGGCCCUCGAAGGUUGAAGUGGCACGGCUUGGGAUGUGGCCUUGGCACCAUGGGUUUUGCCGAGGGUGGCCACUGUGGUGGUUGCCACGAUGGUGCCAUGUGGGGGUAGUGUCGCUCCACUCAUCAUUGUGUUGAGCCUUGUAGAUCGCGCCGAUCCUAAUCGUUGAACGUUGGAAUUUCCGUUCGUCGAAGUUUCCGAAUCUCUUGCCAUUGUACUUUUCUUUUACGUUUUAUCAAAGAAUUUUUAAAAAUAAAAAAUUCCAAGAAUAAGAACAUACGAAAAAUAGCGAGAGUCUUCUACAAGUGUAUGACUCAACUCUCAAUGAAAGCACUAAUUUGUGGAUGCAAAUUUUCGCCUUCUUCCUUGGACAAAAUUGCACCUACAGAACAAUUAACACAUUUGGUCAAGGCCAAGAGCCUCACGCACCCAUGAUGAAUGGGGGGGCUUUGGCCGAAAAACCUCUGAUGCCAAAGUUAGAAUUUGAAGGAAAAGUGUUUAGAGAAUUUGGAGAAUUUUGCAAGAGUGUUGAACUUAAGUUUUUGGACAAAAUGAGGUGGUAUUUAUAAGGGUGAGGCCAGCCCCUUUGAGAGAGAUGGGAACCAGCCACUUUAGUGGUUUUUUGGGUGUAAUUCACAAUUAAUUAGCUAAUUAAUAAAUUAAUUGAGUAAUAAAUCAAUUAAUUAGCCAAUUAAUAUAAUUUGAAAGAAAUAAUUUGAGAGUUACCUUGUGGGAAGGAUUUGAUGAAGAUGAAUGAAAUAUGUUUUGAAUAAUUACCUAUUUUGACCACUUUUGAUCUUGAUGAUUGUCCGCUGCUUACGCAUAAAAAUCCCGGUAUGCCUCAAGGGUAAUCUUGUCAUUUUUGCCCAAAAAUCCACGUGUCACCUCCAUAUUUUCCUUGAUUUUUUUUACUCCACAUCUGUGACUUGAGAAUUUGAGAGCGAAGCAGGCAGCAGGUUCCAAUUUUAUGUCUUUUCUUUUCUUCUCCUCUUGUUUAUUCUUUUACUAAUUACUGUAAUUACUAAUUAUUAUGUUUACAAAUAAAAAACUGACACACCCCGUCUCGAAGGAGGGCAUGCUGGCCGUCACGUGAGAGUGACGUAACCAUUUGCACAGUACGAAAGCUUUAAUUAUACAAUUUAUAAGUUGAUACACCCUAAGGUGAGUCCUAAUUUUGUCCAAUCUGUCAGAACCCCGCUGUAUUCCUCGUAGUCACCACACCUUUGUGAUUCCUGAACCUGGAGGGGCGCAAAACCAAAAUUGAGUGGGUCAGUAAAACAAUUCUUUUCCAAAUCCAAACAUUUCUCAAAACGUUGUAACCCCUCUCCGUAAAACCUGUAUACUUUCCCAGAAAUGUAAAAUAUAAAUAUACAUAUAUAUUCUCAAGACUUCAAGUCGUUAACUCAACAUUUUCAUAACAAUUAUGCCAUGCCACAUCAUCUCAACAUUUCUCAUAUUAAUUAUGCCAUGCCACAUCAUCUCAACAAUAAUAAGGUAUGAAUGCAUCAACAUAAUCAUAUCAGGUGCAAGAAAGUAAUCAACCGUAGGCCCUCUAAUAGCCCUGUACGGUUGAACCUAGAGCUCAAAAUCUAUCACUAUCACUCUACCGGAGUCACCUCUGUGACCUGUCCGGCCUUCUGCACACAAGUUACGCUCUAGUGCUUCUCAUAAAUCAUCUGUGCACAUAAUCUAAGGUCACCCACCAGUCGGAAUCUCACUAACACUCUCGCGACUGGCCUGUCGUACCCACUCCGCGUGGACUGUACGACUAGCAUCUACUUGGAUCCAAGGCGAGCGUGCGAUGCGGUGAAUACUAUAAGCACUAAACCAUGGUGCAGGAUUUGAGCUCAAUAUAUAUAUCAUCAUCAUAACAGUAAUUAAAUACUCACCUGUGCGUCCACCGCACCAUUUCAUACAUAUGCAUCAUAAAUCAAUUCUUACCUGUGCGUCCACCGCACCAAUUCAUACAUAUGCAUCAUAUAUUAAUUCAUGCAUGGCAUUUCAACUCACAUUUCUAUAUACUUUUCAUAUCAAUUCUAUGCAUGGUAUUUCACUUCCCGUUUUUCCACAUAACUCAUAUGCAUUUCAUUUAAACAUAUUUUCAUUUCCAUUCAAUUUCUGGGAAACGUCAAGUAUAUAUAUAUAUACGGAAAACAAAACUGCCCACUCACCUGGAGUUCGCCCUACAACUCCCUAGCACAAUACGCCAAGGCGUCAUGACGAUCGGCGCCUAAAACAAUAAUCAAUUCCAACCUCAGAAUUCAUAUCGAUAGAAUAUAUAACUUAUAUAAAAUACGUCACUACGUAGAUUGAUCCGGAAGAUCCACCCCUCAGAUUUUAAAUCCAUAACUUCCAGAGGUCCACAUUAUACCUCUAGGACAACAUCCUAAAAUUUCAUUACCAUCCAACGGUCGGAUCUCCGUCAAUUCACAUUUUCACCUAAAUGUGAAAAUUAUAAAACGUUAUUUGAACACCUAACCAACAAUCCUCAAUAACUUUCUCAUACGGUGUUCAAUUUAGGUAUAUGAAUAUACCAUAGUGAUCUACUCGACGUCACGGACGUCGACAUAUUUUUAAAAUAAUUUUAUUUUUAUUUUUUAUUUUUACUGUAGCACCUUCUUCUUCCUUGGGUCGCCGGACUGGUUUUUCCGGCGGCCGUUUUCCGGGCAGUUUUUCAAAUUGCCAUAACUUUGUCAUUUCUCAACGAAAUCAAGUGAUUCAAAAACGAAAGUUGUAGCCCUUGAAGAUACAAAGAGAAUGGUACCUUGCACAACACCUAAUUCGCCGUGGUUUGGCCGGCAACUGCCUCGAAAGCCUCGGAGGUCGCCGGAAACUGGGUAUUUUUCAAAUGAGUAUAACUUCUUCAAUACUCAACGAAAUUGAGUGAAACAAAAAGGAAAGUUGUAGUACUUGACGAGACGAAGAGAUUGAUACCUACCUCGACUCCUAACUCUCCGGGGAUUCGCCGGAAAACGCCUCGAAAGCUCCGGCCAAACUUUGAACUUGUCGAUCUCCGUGUUCUUACGUCCAAAAACUUCCAACGAAGCACUCCGAGCUUCCUUGGGACCUUACUAAACUCGCUGUUAUCUUGUUUUAGCCUAAAACGUAACCAAUUCAAAGCUCAUGAACAGUGUCAUCUCACGGCAACUUUAGAACUAGGGUUUUCGAAGUGAAACUCACCUGAAAUUGGUGUCUACGUGAUCGUGGAAGUUCCAGGAGUCCAAAUGUGGUCUUAUCUUGGACGUUUGUUUAUGUUUUAGGUGGUUUUGGGUGAGGUUGAGCGUCGGAGAGGAAGAGAGAGGACUGAGAGUGAGAGAGAGUCGUGAGGGAAGAGAGAUAGAGAGACAAGGUACGGGAAUUGGGGAAGGUUUUGAGGGAUGUGGGGAUCCCACGUGUCCAACUCAAUCCAAAUUGUUAAAUUUUCGCCCCUUAGUCCCGUUUAAGGGCAUUUUCGUCUUUUCAUGUCCUCGAAAUUAAAAUUCCGGGACGGGCUGUGACAAUCUUCCCUCCUUAUAGAAUUUCGUCCCCGAAAUUCCAGCAACCAACUAAAUCAACCAUACUCCAACAAUAGCUUCGGGUAAAUCUUUCUCAUCCGAUUCUCUUUCUCCCACAUACUUUUUCUACUGAAUGAUUUCCUUCACAAAGCUUUUACUACUUACUCUGUCUUAAUUCUUAGGACCUUCUUUUUCAAUCCAAUCCAAAGUCGACAUUUAGUUCCUCACCAAUCAGAUCCGGCUUAAUUCUCAAUAGUUGCACCAAAGUCCCAUGUAACGACUCUGCCACUUAGUGACAACGCAUCGAACACAAAAUACAUUAUGUGCCUUAGCCAAUUCUGAAGGCAUCACAAACUUGUAUGGAACUUUAUUGAUUCCUUUAGUGAAAAAAAAAAAAAAAAUGGUCUGAUGUGUCUAAAUCUUAUCUUGUCUCUUUCCAAUUCUCGUCAUUUCUGUUCGCGGUGAAUUUUCCAAAAAUAUCAAAACCAUUUACCUUACACACUCGAUUAGUGGCAUAUCCAUCUGUUGAUCUCUUUUGCCAUUCCUGGUUACUUCAGGUUAACUUAAUCACCUGAAUACUUUGAGGAAACUCAUCCAUAGUCUCAGGGUCUAUUAAAACUCUUUCUUGAUCGAAUCCUUCUCUACCCAGAAACAUUCCAUUCACAAGUCAUCAAAAACCGACUCACAUGACACAUUUCAUGAUCCUUAUGGCGUUACUUCGGAAACUGCACAACCAACAUACUUAAGAAACUCAACAGUUCCGUAAACUAAUUCUCUUUUCCAUAAAACAAAUAAGUAAUGUUGCACUGUCUGGGAAAGGUUGUUACUCAACACUGGAGUAAAUGUACUAACUUGUUACUUAACAAGUAUAACUUCUUCUCGAUCUUCCAUUCUUAAUUUUUCUUCCGUUGGUUUUCAAUCCACAAGAUGAUACUCUUGGCAAACGUGCCAGACAUUAAUCUUACUGUAGUCUUCUCACCAAGUGCUUGAGCUAGAACAAACUUUACGAUCACCCUGAUCGUACAAUCAUGUUCAUUAAGCAAUACAAUUCACUUUCGCUGCCUCAUAUCAAAAUCCUUCCAAGUAAUGGAUAUUGAAGACUUUUUGGAUUCGUAAAAAUCUUGCAUUCUUACCAAAUAUAAUGCCUUCAUAACUUCACAGCAAGAAUGGUAAUCAUGACUUCCAAGUCACCCGUAGGGUAAUUCAUCUUAUGAGAUUCCAUUUAUCGUGAAACGUAUGCAAUCACCCUAACAUUUGCAUCAACAUGCAUCCAAUACCAUUCAAGAAACAUCACUAAAAAUUUAUGAUUACCACUAUUCUCUGGGAAUACCAAAAUACGUGCAUGAGUGAGGAAAUACUUCAGUUGUUGAAUCCUUUGCUCACAAUUUCCUUCCCACUCAUACAUAACCUCUUUUCUCAACAGUUCUCGUCAAUGACAAAGCAAUGACUGAAAAAUCUUUCACAACCAUCCAAGAUAGCCUGGUAAGCUAAGAAAUUCCGAAUCUCAAUUACAGUUCGUGGUUGUUCCAAUUCCUCAAUUUCUGCUAUCUUUUAAGGAUUCACUUGAAUACCUUAAGAAUAUAUAACAAAUCUCAGAAUGCCACCUGAUUCAUCUAACUUUAGCAUUUGCUACUUAGCAUACAACCGACAUUCUUCCAAUCUUUGUUCCACCGACUUAAUACAUUUACAUGCUCUGCUCUGGCUCAGAAUAUGCCAGAAUAUCUUCAAUGAAAAUGAUAUCUAUUUAUCAAGGCAUUAUUGGAAUACUUCAUCCAAUAACUCAUAAAACAGCAUGAGUAUCCAUAUAGCAUCACCAUAGUUCAUAAAACCAAUCUUAAGAACAACGUCGCUCAUAAUCUUUUAAUUGGUAAUAACCAGACCUCAAUUCAAUCUUUGAAUCUUCGCAAUUACUUCUGAGCUGGUUAAAUAAACAUCAGUACAUCACCAUGGAUAACGGUUCUCAAUCGUUACCCGACUCCAUUGUCUAUAAUCAAUGAACAGUCUCAAGAUCCAUUUUCUUCCUCACCAACAAACUGGGGCUCCUCAAAAGUGUUGUACUAGGUUGAAUGAAACUUUUAUCAACCAAUUCUUUCAACUGAAUUUCCAAUUCCCUUAACUCAUCCUGAACCAAUCUCCAAUAUAAAUUUAUACCUGGCAACAAAUCAAUAAUGAACCUCAUAUCUCUGCCUGAAGGCAAUCCAGGUAUACUUUCAAGGAAGACAUCAAGAAAAGUCUAACUCUUUCGACAUUAUUCACACUACUCCAAACAACAUCAUUUAGCACCACAUGAGCUAAGUAUUUUUGACAGCCUUUCGAAAACAAUCUCUUUGCUCUCACAGCAUAAAUAACAGGCCUGACUCAAUCCAUUUUGCAUACUUACAAAAGUAAUCUCUGUUCAUCCAGAUCGAUGGAAAGUACUGGUUUUCCAUAACAUUUCGUCUUGUCACAAUUAUAACCAACCAAUCUAAUGGAACAGAAUUAACUGAUACAAUAUAUAUUCUAUUAUUAUUAAGCAUUCCAAAUAAGUACAAUACUAACAUAAAUAAUCUACCGGGUUGCUUGCUUAACGAAUCCACGAAUGAGUUAUUAAUAUUACGGUCUGCAGCCCGCAAUACUGAUAAAUCAUCGUUGUCUCGAUAAGUAGGCAACCACUCUCAAAGAUAUAACAUUACUAUUUUGUCACUCAAUGCAAAAUACAUACACUCAUCUCAACUACAUUUAUUUACUACUCUCAAGGUAAUAACAUACAUAAUAAGAAAUAUAUCAGCCGAAGUCAACUAGAAUGACCAAUACGGCUGAUUCAACUCUUAUCUCAAUAAUACGUCGGCCGGAUCCACUCCGCGGGUCGGUACGGCCGAGCCUAUAACUCACUAAUUUCUCAUGUGUCAAUCGAAUCCACUUCUCAUGGUCUGUACAGCUGAACAUAUAACUCAUCAAAUCUCUCUGUACUCACGGUCAAUCCGACCAAACUACUAAGUCCAUAACUCUGCUGAAUCGACACUAUGAUAUCAUGGAAAAUUAUUGAGUACAACUGAUUCUAGGGACGAUCACAAUUCUGUGUCCCUCUGUUCACAUAAACACAUUCAUUAAUUUCACAUUUCCCAAAGUGUUAAUUUUGUACCUGCUGCACAAGGUACAUUUCCUUUACUCGAGACACCUUGUCUCAAAUAUCUGGGAUUACCAGUAUAUCCAUCACUUUUACUCUGACCAGCGACAUUAAAACCUCAGCUGGAAGAAUUAACUCUACUUCACUUCUUUCGAAGCUCUGAAUCUUUCUAUAUCCUUGAUAUGACGAAUCAUUAACUUUAUCGUCAACUUCCUUGAUUCACAUUUGCAAACUCUUGCUUACUACCAUCGAUAAAUGCCGGAGGGAUAAACUUUUCCUUAAACAAGUCCUUAAAUAAUUCUCAAUCAGCUGUUUCCUCCGGUGACAACAAUCUAACAUCCUGUUUCCACCAGGAUACAAAUUCAUACCCAAAACCAGGUAGUCGUCUCGACCCCCUGUCAGAAGGAAGAUUCCUUUGACUUGCAUAAUCUGAAACAUCUUUUCCAAAUGGUUAAACCGUUACUUCGUUCCCUCAGGUUCAUCAUUUCUCUUAAGUGAUUCAAAUUCAACUCAUUACCAUCUUAAAAUGUCCAUUUUGAUAAUAUACUGAAUCACCAUAAUAAUAGUUUCCCCAAACCCGCUAAAUCAGGGAGACUAAGUUCCUCUAACUACAUGGUUUGCUACGAGGCGGUGUAGUUCUGACAGAAUUCACUAGAACUUCUCAAAAUGUCCAAAAAUUCCAACCAUGCUCUGAUACCAACUGACACACCCCGUCUCGAAGGAGGGCAUGCUGGCCGUCACGUGAGAGUGACGUAACCAUUUGCACAGUACGAAAGCUUUAAUUAUACAAUUUAUAAGUUGAUACACCCUAAGGUGAGUCCUAAUUUUGUCCAAUCUGUCAGAACCCCGCUGUAUUCCUCGUAGUCACCACACCUUUGUGAUUCCUGAACCUGGAGGGGCGCAAACCAAAAUUGAGUGGGUCAGUAAAACAAUUCUUUUCCAAAUCCAAACAUUUCUCAAAACGUUGUAACCCCUCUCCGUAAAACUGUAUACUUUCCCAGAAAUGUAAAAUAUAAAUAUACAUAUAUAUUCUCAAGACUUCAAGUCGUUAACUCAACAUUUUCAUAACAAUUAUGCCAUGCCACAUCAUCUCAACAUUUCUCAUAUUAAUUAUGCCAUGCCACAUCAUCUCAACAAUAAUAAGGUAUGAAUGCAUCAACAUAAUCAUAUCAGGUGCAAGAAAGUAAUCAACCGUAGGCCCUCUAAUAGCCCUGUACGGUUGAACCUAGAGCUCAAAAUCUAUCACUAUCACUCUACCGGAGUCACCUCUGUGACCUGUCCGGCCUUCUGCACACAAGUUACGCUCUAGUGCUUCUCAUAAAUCAUCUGUGCACAUAAUCUAAGGUCACCCACCAGUCGGAAUCUCACUAACACUCUCGCGACUGGCCUGUCGUACCCACUCCGCGUGGACUGUACGACUAGCAUUACUUGGAUCCAAGGCGAG